UGGAGAGUUUGAUCCUGGCUCAGAUUGAUACCGCUGGCGGCAGGCCUAACACAUGCAAGUCGAGCGGCAGCACGGGUACUUGUACCUGGUGGCGAGCGGCGGACGGGUGAGUAAUGCCUAGGAAUCUGCCUAGUAGUGGGGGAUAACGUCCGGAAACGGGCGCUAAUACCGCAUACGUCCUACGGGAGAAAGUGGGGGAUCUUCGGACCUCACGCUAUUAGAUGAGCCUAGGUCGGAUUAGCUAGUUGGUGAGGUAAUGGCUCACCAAGGCGACGAUCCGUAACUGGUCUGAGAGGAUGAUCAGUCACACUGGAACUGAGACACGGUCCAGACUCCUACGGGAGGCAGCAGUGGGGAAUAUUGGACAAUGGGCGAAAGCCUGAUCCAGCCAUGCCGCGUGUGUGAAGAAGGUCUUCGGAUUGUAAAGCACUUUAAGUUGGGAGGAAGGGCAGUUACCUAAUACGUGAUUGUUUUGACGUUACCGACAGAAUAAGCACCGGCGAACUCUGUGCCAGCAGCCGCGGUA
This 526-nucleotide ribosomal RNA is filed under the name Pseudomonas sp. C1-2005. RNAcentral describes it as "bacterial SSU rRNA". It matches the Rfam family "Bacterial small subunit ribosomal RNA", at positions 1 to 522 of the family's 1533-position model. The record is from RNAcentral. Lineage: Bacteria; Pseudomonadati; Pseudomonadota; Gammaproteobacteria; Pseudomonadales; Pseudomonadaceae.